UGGAGGAAAGCAGGGGAUCGUAAGACCUUGCGCUUUUGGAGCGGCCGAUGUCUGAUUAGCUAGUUGGUGGGGUAAUGGCCCACCAAAGCUUCGAUCAGUAGCUGGUCUGAGAGGACGGCCAGCCACACUGGGACUGAGACACGGCCCAGACUCCUACGGGAGGCAGCAGUGGGGAAUUUUGGACAAUGGGCGCAAGCCUGAUCCAGCCAUGCCGCGUGAGUGAAGAAGGCCUUCGGGUUGUAAAGCUCUUUCAGCCGGGAAGAAAAGGCUGCGAUUAAUAAUCGCAGUUCAUGACGGUACCGGAAGAAGAAGCACCGGCUAACUACGUGCCAGCAGCCGCGGUAAUACGUAGGGUGCGAGCGUUAAUCGGAAUUACUGGGCGUAAAGGGUGCGCAGGUGGUUUUGUAAGUCAGAUGUGA
This 419-nucleotide ribosomal RNA is filed under the name uncultured ammonia-oxidizing beta proteobacterium. RNAcentral's name for it is "bacterial SSU rRNA". It matches the Rfam family "Bacterial small subunit ribosomal RNA", at positions 197 to 597 of the family's 1533-position model. Lineage: Bacteria; Pseudomonadati; Pseudomonadota; Betaproteobacteria. The record is from RNAcentral.